Molecule: long non-coding RNA, 422 nt
Filed under: Homo sapiens (human)
Lineage: Eukaryota; Metazoa; Chordata; Mammalia; Primates; Hominidae
Description: HSALNT0038360
Source: RNAcentral
GUGGGACUCUGAAUCUUCAGGGACCAGCAAAAUUCUUGGUGAUAUCAAGGCUUGUGGAUCAAAUGAUUAUCAGAAGACCAAGGAGUCAAGAAGAAAUAGCUACAGAAGAUAGAAAGGACCAAGUUUAAUCUUCCUGUAAAUUCUAAAUCCUGCAAUGUACACAUCAGACUGAACAUACAAGAUUAAAAGGUAACUGCCUCUACUGAAGAAGGGAGAGUCAAUAGCCUUUGGAAAGAUGCUCAGGAGGGAAUCAGGUGGGGGAAGAGAGAGAAAGAGAGGAGAUAUUGAUGAGAGGAACGCCUAGUACACCAGACCCACUAGUUCAGAGAUAUGUUAGGGAUGUUGCCUCCAUCCUCUCUCCUAACUCUCAUAUUGACUCAUAAGAGCAAACAAAAGCCACACUUGACAAAUGGGAUCUAAUU